RNAcentral lists this long non-coding RNA (3191 nucleotides) under Homo sapiens (human). Its description in RNAcentral is "non-protein coding LINC02100:27". Lineage: Eukaryota; Metazoa; Chordata; Mammalia; Primates; Hominidae. The record is from RNAcentral.
CCUUCAAUUGGGAGGAUACUUCUUAUCUCAUUUCUAGGGGCCCAUCCGGGAUUUCUCCACAGCAGUGAGUAAUAUUGGACCCCUUUCACUUGCUAUUCUGUUCUAUCUUCUCGCUAACAACUGGAGGAAAACACUGGGCAACUGUGGGCCACUUAAAAGCGACAAGCAUGGCUGCCAGAUUUAAGACACGGGUGUGAGGCUUUCCAGGAAAGGGCUCUCUAACAACCCCCAGCCCUCUGGGCUGGAAGCAUUGGUGUGCCUGGAGCCAGUUCCACCUUUCCUGGGAAAAGCUGAGGGCUGGCUAGAGGCGGAAAACUAUUGUCCCGAACUCCUGGCACUGACCCAGUCGAGAUCAUGGCACAGCGAGAAGCCUCUACUCUGCAGACACCCAUGCAUGCAUUCUCUGCCUUCUCUGCUGAUCAAAAUUGUGAGAAGUUGUCUGGAAGUAAGCAACUAAAGCUAAGAUGAACUCUGCUGAGACCUACUUGCUACAAAACAUUUGCCCUUAUAAAAAUCGAGGGCUGCACAAAAGAAGAGCCUUUUUUGUGUGUCACUGCUUCUGCCUUUCUGUUUUAGAGGCUCUUGUUUUAGGAUGCCAGCACUGGUAGUCUUUGCAAUCAAAGGACGCACAAAGAAGGCUUCUUAGUGUCUAGACCUUGUUGACAACUGAAGUCAGCUCUACAGGCUUCCUCGAUUUAUUUUUACACAUCACAAGUAAAUGCCUUUGCUGUGCAAGCUGUCAGUGUGCAUAAGUGUUCAUUUCUGUGUGUGUUUGUGUGUGUGUGAGAGGGAGAGAGACAGAGAGAGAGUGAGUUUCUAGCUUGCAUCCUAAUAAACUAUCUGAUGUAGAUGAGGUUGUCUCAAGCUGAGCUUUCACUCUCUGUCCACCACUGCUGUUUGCCACUGCCGCAGACACGCGCUGACUUCCAUCCCUUCGGAUCCGGCAGGGUGUCCUCUGUGCUGCGUCCCAUUACCGUCUUGGUAGCUCAAAUAGUUACCCUGACACUAGUAUUUGGUCUUGGAAAACUCACCUAAGUAGUUCCUUAGAUUGUGUGUUUCAAUACACUUAGUUCUAACAUGGAAAUAUGAAGAUCAGCUCCAAAUAUUUUUUUCCCAUGAAAACCAUAUGAUAUGUUUAAAUGCUCCAGGACAUACUGUGUAUUCUUAGAAUGGACCAUAUCUAAAUGAAAUAGAGACUUGGUCUCUAUCAGAAUCCAUACUAAUGUGUAGGUAUGUACAAUAUCAGUAAUAAAUAUUUGGGAAUAGUAAUGGAUUUACAUGGAGUUAACAAUCUAGAAAAACAGUUUUUUAGUUACAAAGAUAUUUAGAAAAUAUAACUUUCCAAUGUCAUUCUUAAUAAUAUUAAGAGUUCCAUGCUUAUAAAUAUUGUUCUGUAUUAUCAUCAACUGACAUAGUUUACAUACGUGUCUCUGUUCAAAUCUCAUGCUGAAAUGUAAUCCCCAGUGUCGGAGGUGGGGUCUAGCGGGAGGUGAUUGGAUCAUGGGGGUGGUUUCUCAUGAAUGGGCUAGCACCAUCCCCUGGGUGACGUCCUCGUGAUAGUGAGUCCUUGAGAGAUCUGGUUGUUUAAAAGUAUGUGGCACCUCCCUGCUUGCUGUCUUGCUGCUGCUUUUACCGUGUGAUAUGAAAGCUCCGGUUUGGCCUCCCAUCAUGAAUGUAAGCUUCCAGAGGCCUCUCAGAAGCAGAUGUCAAUGUAAUAUCCAGGUCUUUUAAAUUCUUAGAUAACAUCUAAGUAAGUCUUUUAUAUAUCUGUUGCAGUAGUUAAAGGAACUUAAACAGGAGUAUAAUAAGAUAACUACAAAAGGAGGAUAUUAUAAACUCCAGGAGAAAAGUUUUAAUUAAAUAAGAAAGAAUCUUCCUGGACCAGCUGUUUAAAAUAUAUACAUAUUCAUAAUAUGCAAUAUUGAUGACUGGUUUAAUACAAAAUAGUAAUAGAAUAAUAUCAGUAGAAUAAGGAAAGAAAGUGGAGGGAGAAUAUUAAACAAGUAACUCUUCAUUUACUAUUAAUAUUAUAGUAAGUAAUGGAUAAUGCUAAUUGUUAUUACGAUGAAAUAAUAAUUGCCAGGGACAGUGGCUCACGCCUUUAAUCCUAGCACUUUGGAAGGCUGAGGCAGGUGGAUCAUUUGAGGUCAGGAGUUUGAAACCAGCCUGGCCAACGUGGGGAAACCUGUCUGUACUAAAAAUACAAAAAAUUAGCCAGGCGUAGUGGCAGGCACCUGUAAUCACAGCUACUUGGGAGGCUGAGGCAGGAAUUCCAGCCUGGGCUACAGAGCAAGACUCUGUCUCGGUUUGCUCACUGUUUAAAUUAAUUUUCAUAAAUUAUAAAAUACUGUUAAAAUGAGUGAAUUAGAAUAAAGAUAAAUAUUUUCACAAACUGUACACCUCCAUGUAACCAGAAUCUGAAUAAAUAUAAGUAAGAAUAACCAACAGUCAAGAGGCCCUCCCAUUCUCCCCUCAUCAGAGUAAUCACUAUCAUUUAUCUAACACCAUAAGUUUAUCUUGCUAGUUGUUGAAUUUUAUACAAAUGGAAUCCUAUAGUAUAUAUUGUGUCAAAUCAUAAAUGCAUGCUUUUCUGCACUGUCAUUUGCACACUCAACACUACAUAUUUUGAUUUUUUUUCUUAUGGGUUUUCAUAUACUUACAAUGAGGCUGUAUCAUUUUGAUUAUAAAAUCACUAAAUACUCUUUCAAAUAAAAUCUCUACCUCAUUGGCAUAUUGUCAUGUACCCAGUGCCUAUCUAAUGAAUCCAAGUGUGUUCCAGUUGUGACUUUCAAAUUUUUCUGCUCAGCCACAGCUUUCUCACAGGUGCUUCAUGGUAGGCCAAGUGAAUGAAUUGUGGAAGACAAAUGCAUAGGUAUAGUAUGAUCCCAACACGCUGCACAAUGAUCAUCCACUGAUUUCUUGGCUUGUUUUUUAAAAUAGAUUCCAUUUUGAGAAUACUGAGAUGAUUCAGUAUAUUCAGAAAUACAACUUGGGCAAACCUUCUUGCCAGACCUUGAUCCUGGAGGUUUGCUUAAGGAUUUUGAAAUAAAAUCUGAAUGAGACGAGAGGAAGGUUAAAAAAAAAAAAAAAGAUAUUGUUACCUUAAAAUGGAAAUAAAAAAUUAUGUUUGUGCAUGUGUGUGUAUAUUAGAAACAAUAAACUGAUAUGAUAACAUAACAUGUAUGCAUAUA